CUUGAGGUGACUGGCUGGCAGAGCAAUCUUUUCUAUAUCAAGAUGAAUAGCUGUGUAAUGUUUUGCUGUCUUCAGGUAUGGAAGUCAACCUCAAAACUUUUGAACUUUUUGGGGGGAGCACACACUUCCUGGUUCUGUUGGUAAAAACCCAGACAUUUUGCUGAUUUUUUGAAUCCCCCUCCCCCAAUAGUUUCGCCAUUUGACUCCUGUACCUGUCCAGGACAUAUGGCAAACUUGCCUACGGUUGCAUUUGAGAGAGUCAGUGUAGCACCAGUGGCUGGUAGUGAGGCAUCUGAUGAAGACCUGCAUUUUAACAUGAGCUUAAAAAAUAUAUUUGUAAAUGUUUGUAUCUCUCAUGCCAGGCAGAAACCAGCUGAAUACUCUGGCAGCUGUUUAUCUUCCUGUUCAAGGGCCCCACUGAUCUAUAGCAGUAUUUCAGGGUUGUAAAAGGAAAUAACAGGCUGGGAGCAAAAGGUCACACUGACCAUACAAAUUACAGAAUACAAUCAAGCUGCAAAAACGCAAUUAAGAGUUGGUAAAUAGUGAAAUUUAUUGUUUAACAGAAGACUCGAGCCAUAUUUUCAUAAGGUUAAAGGGUAAAUUGAAGAAGUUGCUUUUAGAAACAGCAGCUGGCUAGGGAAAGAGGCUUCUCUCCAAGCUGUUUUGAAGCUUCAGAGAACUUAGAGAACUUAGCUUUUACUAAGUUCCUUUCCUUCUAAAAAUCUAUCUAUGUUAUGUAUGAAAUAUAUUGGCUUAAAUGUAAUUAUGCAAAGGAUUUAGAAAGUAAGAAAUGUUAGAUUCUUAUGUUAGAUUCUUAUUUCAUAGAUGGUGUGUGAGAAGGUGAACCCAAGAUCUCUUUAAGAUAAAAAUUAAAAACUAUGCACCAUCUGGUUUAGCCAUCUGUUUUGCAGUGAAUAGGGUAAUAGGGCAGCAGGGGCCAAAGGUUAUCUGGUAAUUAAGGUGCCUGGUCGAGGUAAAUGUAAGAUAUAUGGCUACUUGUCUGCCAUUUAUGGAUAGAAGGAAAUAUAGCUCUUUGUCUCCCAUAAAAGGUAAUAGGAAAUGGGUGUAUCUUUUAUGAUUGGUUCUAGCAAACAGCCAAUAGGAAUUUCAACCAGGCUGAUUGGACAGAGGCAGCCAAAGGAGGAGCAAGGGGGCUGGGCUGAGGAAAUAUAAGUGCUGGCCAUCAGGGCUGGAGUGGGCAGAGCUUUGGUAACCAUAUACCACUGUGUCUCUCAUUUAUUUGUCUGACAAAUAAAUUAUUAUUUUAAUUUCUCUAUUGCUGCGUUGAAUAUUUCAUUCCAGCUAAGCGUUAACCACAAGCAGGGUGCUACAGUAAAGCAAUCCCAAAACCAGAAGAAGUCAGAAGCUGUAAUUUACUCUGUUUGCUGAUAGCAGUGCCAUUAAGAACACAAACACAGCCAUUAAGAACAAUUGACCAGGCAGGUGUUGUCCUUCCCCCAACUGAGAAGUGGACAGAAACAGAAGAACUGAAAGGGGGAGGUUGCCAGUAUAAUAGGGGGCGUGAUGUCAGCACAUUAAAAGAGAUGUCCUUUUAAAACAGAGGUUUUGGAGCAAGGGUUUCUGGGAAUAAGAAGGCAGGGGCAGGACUCCACGUGGCUGGAGGAGGCUGCACGCAGAGACCUGGGAGGCUGGCUGACUGGCUGAUGCUUGGGACCCAAGCUUGCUGAACCUAUAAGAGAAGUGAAGAAGAAGAAGAGUUUGGAUUUGAUAUCCCGCUUUAUCACUACCCAAAGGAGUCUCAAAGCGGCUAACAUUCUCCUUUCCCUUCCUCCCCCACAACAAACACUCUGUGAGGCGAGUUAGGCUGAGAGACUUCAGAGAAAUGUGACUAGCCCAAGGUCACCCAGCAGCUGCAUGUGGAGGAGUGGAGACGCGAACCUGGUUCACCAGAUUAUGAGUCUACCACUACAUAACACAGGUGAUAGAUACUCUUGCGAUGCAACGUUCUGCUGCACUCCUUCCACUGAAACUCAAGUUUUAAAUAUGUGUAAAAUAAGCCAUACUGCAUAAAGACACAACAGUCUCUGCCAUGCCUCAUUCCCAAGGAACACAAGCCCUCCUGGUUAAGUGCCAAGACUUGCUGCCAAUAGGCAGAGGUUGGGGUGGCCUGUAACAGUAUAAUUUUGCCCCAAAUGCACCUUUUGCAAAGCAAUUUCCCCUGAUAUGAUGCAUUUUGGUACAUCUUGUUUUCAUUAAAAUAUUCCUUUGUAUACACAAUUUGCCACAGUGUAUGCAUUUCCAUCACAUUGCUUGGCAGGAGAAACGUGUUGCAAAAUUUGGAAGAGUGCAAAUUUUGAAGGAUACCUGUGUUAUGCUUCACAUACUGUUUUGGGAAAUGUGAAUUUGGUAACUUUACAUUUAAAUACGAAUGGAGCUGAAUUUCUCCCCUUACUCCCCUACAUUUCUUGCAGGACUACUGCCACCAGGAAAGAAAGCUAAUGGUCGCCUAAUUCAGUAAUUGCAAUCACGGUCGUUGUAGGAGGCCUCAAGAAACCAACCAGAACAUUUUCUUUUCUUUCUGUGGUUUGAAAAACAAAAUAAAAUGGCGAGGCUCACAAAGCGAGAAAGAUAAUCCUCACUUUGUCAUCUGAAUGGCGAAGGAGGCAAAUCUUAAUUUAGCUGCCUCGUGUGUUCUCUCCUGUGGAACCGCAUUUCUCCUUGAUGCAGCUGAGGCUUUGCCUGAAAGGGAUUAAGGAAAUCAGUCGCUUUGCUCCCGGUAUUUUACAUAAUGGCGUGAAGUUUAACCAGUAAAAGUAUCAAGAGGCGGUAAUGAGGCUCUAGCAAAAGUAAUAAUUUCCACGAUUUGUGUGCGGU
Molecule: non-coding RNA, 2835 nt
Organism: Podarcis lilfordi (Lilford's wall lizard)
Lineage: Eukaryota; Metazoa; Chordata; Lepidosauria; Squamata; Lacertidae
Source: the annotation of a GenBank genome assembly